RNAcentral lists this ribosomal RNA (440 nucleotides) under uncultured bacterium. RNAcentral describes it as "partial 16S ribosomal RNA". It matches the Rfam family "Bacterial small subunit ribosomal RNA", at positions 338 to 795 of the family's 1533-position model. The record is from RNAcentral.
CCUACGGGAGGCAGCAGUGGGGAAUCUUGGACAAUGGGGGAAACCCUGAUCGAGCAACGCCGCGUGAAUGAAGAAGGAUUUCGGUACGUAAAGCGCUAUCAGAAGGGAGGAAAAUGACGGUAACUGACGAAGAAGCCCCGGCUAACUACGUGCCAGCAGCCGCGGUAAUACGUAGGGGGCGAGUUUUAUCCGGAGUGACUGGGUGUAAGGGGAGCGUAGACGGCAGCGCAAGGCUGGAGUGAAAUGCCGGGGCCCAACCCCGGAACUGUUCUGGAAACUGUGAAGCUGGAGGGCAGGAGAGGUAAGCGGAAUUCCUGGUGUAGCGGUGAAAUGCGUAGAUAUCAGGAGGAACACCGGCGGCGAAGGCGGCUUACUGGACUGUAACUGACGUUGAGGCUCGAAGGCGUGGGGAGCAAACAGGAUUAGAUACCCUGGUAGUC